RNAcentral lists this long non-coding RNA (1750 nucleotides) under Marmota monax (woodchuck). Lineage: Eukaryota; Metazoa; Chordata; Mammalia; Rodentia; Sciuridae. The record is from RNAcentral.
GUACACCUGUAAUCCCAGCAAUUUGGGAGGCUGAGGCAGGAGGUUUGCAAGUUCGAAGCCAGCCUCAACAAUUUAGUGAGGCCCUAGGCAAAUCAGUGAGACCCUGUCUCUAAAUAAAAUAUACAGAGGGCUGGAGAUGUCGCUCAGUGAUUAAGUGCCCUUGUGUUCAAUCCCCAGUACAAACAAACAAACAAACAAGAGGUUUAUUCAGGUCUUGACUUUCUAAAACCAGUAGAACCAGUAUUGCUGUUUAGUACCUUGUGAUUCCUACUUUCUUAAAUUGUGCAGGGAUGAUUGUUGAAAAGAAGAAAUCAAACAUGUUUUAUAAGUUGCUUUUAAGGCAUAUUCUGACAGCACAUUUGAACACAGAGAAACAGAUGAAAUCACUGAAUAUUUACUAUUCAGAAAGGUAAGUUUAUCCUCUAUUAUUAGUGAAAAUUCUAAUAGUUACUCUGAUUUUUCUGGUACAUUAUAAUCCAUUUAAGUUGAUAAUACUGUCUCAUUUGGGAACUAAAUCUUUGCUCCUGGUGGAUUCUGCUAUAGAAACAAAAUCUGCAUUUUGGAAAAGGGUUUUCAUUCAUUCAACAAAUAUUUAUUGAACAUCUACUAUGUAAUAGGCAUAGUUCUAGGCUGGGGAAAGUAACCAAACUGACAAAACCCUGCCUCUCAGAGCUUACUACUGUGUCUGCCUUUUCUUUUCUCUUUCACUAGUUGCUGUCACAGACUCUUCUGUGGUAGAAGGGCCCACAGGGAAGGUCUUUGUUUGUGUUGUGGAAUUAAACUGGCUUUGCCUAGUCUGGACCCAGCAGAUGUUCAGAGCUGACUCAUUUUCUUAUGGGUAUGCCUGAAUUCAUCACAGGAAUCCUUGCCAGGAUUCUCUGACCACAGUUCCCUUGUUUUUCCCUCUGGCUAACACUUCCCCUCAGUCCUUGGUUUGUUGGUUAUCUACACCACAGACUUCUCUGUCUGACCCUCCCUGCAGCCUUCUUAGGAAGGAUUCAAAAUGGCUCCACAAUGGCUCCUCCUGGGCCAAGCCUGAUCCUCCACAGGGAUCCCAGAAGGGGAAGACAAAAGGGACUUCUCAGAUUCCGAACUCUGUCCUACCAUCCCAACCUAUGGGAUAUUUCUCAGGUUAGAGACCCUAAAUGAAAGGUGACUUCCAAACUGCAGGGUAGCAGACUACAUUCUCCAUGAGGUUUUGAAGUGAAGGAGUAGGACUCUCACCCUGCUUUGAAAUUUGCAUUUUGGUUUGCAUUUCCCUGGGUGUCCAAUUUGUCUUCUGAAGCCUCAGCCCAAACUUUUAAUUUCUGUCUCUAUGUAUUUUGCAAAUAUAAUAGUUGUUUGUUUAUAUUUCCCCUCAAGAGGGCUUUCCUAUAGAUAGCUUUUUCUUCCCUGCCUCCAUACAGGGAAGUGUGGUUUUACCCCUGAGCUAUACCCCCAGGCCUUUAUUUUUGAUUUUGAGAAAGGGUCUCACUAAGUUGCCAAGGCUGGCCUCAAACUUAAUAUGCUCCUGUCUCAGCCUCCGGACUUGCUAGGAUUACAGGCAUGUACCACCAGGCUAGGUAGUUAAAAUUUUUUUUUAAUUGAAUUUUAAUGCUCAGCUAAAUUAUUCCCAGCUCAAAAGUAGAGAGAAAAAUCAGUAAAUACUUCUCUACUUACUGAUCCUUACUUACCUUCCUUAUCAUCUAAUAAUUGGGAAGAAAAUCACUAUGUAGUCAAAUAGAGGACACUUAGCUCAAGGCAGUGAUUU